This 402-nucleotide long non-coding RNA is filed under the name Cyanistes caeruleus (blue tit). RNAcentral's name for it is "lncRNA (ENSCCEG00000023869.1)". Lineage: Eukaryota; Metazoa; Chordata; Aves; Passeriformes; Paridae. The record is from RNAcentral.
CCCCUCUCCAGGACCACCCUCUCCGGGCAGGCUGACAUAGGAGCACCAUGUAGAGCAUGUGUGCAGGCAGGGACCAGAGUAUCAACAAUACAAGUGGUAUGUGCUGGCAGGUGAUCUGCUGGCCAUUCCCAAUGGGAUCACUUCUAGCCUUCGAUUCAGAGUCAUUUGAACACACAUGUUGUAGUGCACUACACACACGCAGCAGCAACUGGACUGAGCAAGAGGACUGCUCACAGGAUGAGGCUUCAGGUGAAGGAGGUCACCAGAGAGAAGGACAACAGAUGAAGAGCUGAAGGAUCAACAGAACAGAGGCAAUGUUCCUCAUCCAGCCACACAGCCACAAAACUGGAAGCUCAAUCCCAAUUUCCCGAAUUCCAAUCUAUUCAUGUCUUUGAAGCUAGG